RNAcentral lists this ribosomal RNA (253 nucleotides) under uncultured bacterium. Its description in RNAcentral is "partial 16S ribosomal RNA". It matches the Rfam family "Archaeal small subunit ribosomal RNA", at positions 474 to 727 of the family's 1478-position model. The record is from RNAcentral.
UACCAGCACCCCGAGUGGUCGGGACGAUUAUUGGGCCUAAAGCAUCCGUAGCCGGUCCUACAAGUCUUCCGUUAAAUCCACCUGCUCAACAGAUGGGCUGCGGAGGAUACUAUAGAGCUAGGAGGCGGGAGAGGCAAGCGGUACUUAGUGGGUAGGGGUAAAAUCCGUUGAUCCAUUGAAGACCACCAGUGGCGAAGGCGGCUUGCCAGAACGCACUCGACGGUGAGGGAUGAAAGCUGGGGGAGCAAACAGG